CUGAACCAGCCAAGUAGCGUGAAGGAUGAAGGUCCUACGGAUCGUAAACUUCUUUUAUACGGGAAUGAAGUUCCUACGUGUAGGAUUUUGUAUGUACCGUAUGAAUAAGCAUCGGCUAACUCCGUGCCAGCAGCCGCGGUAAUACGGAGGAUGCGAGCGUUAUCCGGAUUUAUUGGGUUUAAAGGGAGCGCAGACGGGAGAUUAAGUCAGUUGUGAAAGUUUGCGG
RNAcentral lists this ribosomal RNA (226 nucleotides) under uncultured Bacteroides sp. RNAcentral's name for it is "partial 16S ribosomal RNA". It matches the Rfam family "Bacterial small subunit ribosomal RNA", at positions 383 to 607 of the family's 1533-position model. The record is from RNAcentral. Lineage: Bacteria; Pseudomonadati; Bacteroidota; Bacteroidia; Bacteroidales; Bacteroidaceae.